UUCCCGGUGUUUUCCGCGAUUUGGUUAUUGUGAUUGACUGCUAUUUCAUCCAACGGCUGCCGUUGAAUUUGCUUGCACAUGAAUCACUCACGCUAACUGUUGGUUGGUCGGUUACUCAUUGCCGAUUUGCCAUUGUUUUACUUAUGGUUUAUGGGCUC
Molecule: long non-coding RNA, 158 nt
Organism: Hibiscus syriacus
Lineage: Eukaryota; Viridiplantae; Streptophyta; Magnoliopsida; Malvales; Malvaceae
Exons: 3
Source: RefSeq, a predicted model, not a curated record